RNAcentral lists this ribosomal RNA (300 nucleotides) under uncultured Bacteroidales bacterium. Its description in RNAcentral is "bacterial SSU rRNA". It matches the Rfam family "Bacterial small subunit ribosomal RNA", at positions 48 to 339 of the family's 1533-position model. Lineage: Bacteria; Pseudomonadati; Bacteroidota; Bacteroidia; Bacteroidales. The record is from RNAcentral.
UUAACACAUGCAAGUCGAGGGGCAGCAUGGUCUUAGCUUGCUAAGUUUGAUGGCGACCGGCGCACGGGUGAGUAACGCGUAUCCAACCUGCCCCGUACACGGGGAUAGCCUUCCGAAAGGGAGAUUAAUACCCGAUGAUGUCAGGAGUUCGCAUGUAAACCUGACUAAAGUUAUUACGGUACGGGAGGGGGGUGCGUUCCAUUAGGUAGUAGGCGGGGUAACGGCCCACCUAGCCUACGAUGGAUAGGGGUUCUGAGAGGAAGGUCCCCCACAUUGGAACUGAGACACGGUCCAAACUCC